This 497-nucleotide ribosomal RNA is filed under the name uncultured bacterium. Its description in RNAcentral is "partial 16S ribosomal RNA". It matches the Rfam family "Bacterial small subunit ribosomal RNA", at positions 28 to 507 of the family's 1533-position model. The record is from RNAcentral.
GAUGAACGCUGGCGGCGUGCCUAAUACAUGCAAGUCGAGCGAACAGACGAGGAGCUUGCUCCUCUGACGUUAGCGGCGGACGGGUGAGUAACACGUGGAUAACCUACCUAUAAGACUGGGAUAACUUCGGGAAACCGGAGCUAAUACCGGAUAAUAUAUUGAACCGCAUGGUUCAAUAGUGAAAGACGGUUUUGCUGUCACUUAUAGAUGGAUCCGCGCCGCAUUAGCUAGUUGGUAAGGUAACGGCUUACCAAGGCAACGAUGCGUAGCCGACCUGAGAGGGUGAUCGGGCACACUGGAAAUGAGACAACGUCCAGACUCCGACGGGAGGCAGCAGUAGGGAAUCUUCCGCAAUGGGCGAAAGCCUGACGGAGCAACGCCGCGUGAGUGAUGAAGGUCUUCGGAUCGUAAAACUCUGUUAUUAGGGAAGAACAAAUGUGUAAGUAACUAUGCACGUCUUGACGGUACCUAAUCAGAAAGCCACGGCUAACUACGUG